GAACUAAGAGACCACCUUGACGCGAUAAAUUUUCCAAAGAAAAAGAAAAACAGCGAGCCUUUUACGUCCGCACAGAUACACCGAGAGACGAUGGAGGUUGUUCGUUACCGCAGCUUGGGUAAAAAGUCACUGCCGAAUUUCCAGCGAGCAUUCGAAUGGGACGACUUUUUGUUCGCUAGAAAGUUUUCGAGCCGCUGUCAACUCGGACGGAAACAGAGUAAGGCGUACAUGUCCAGAGGCGUACGGCGCAAAAAACGAGUGGACGUUGCGUCGGUGCAGCGGCAAAAACCACCGAUAUAGAGCGGAUUAAAGAAGCACGAAGAUCGAGGAAGAAAACAUGCUCGCUUUCGAGUCGGUCACGCAUCAUCGGCAGGCUCGGUCGCGAAAUCGAUCUGCCAUACUUUCGCCGCGGAUGCUUGCCAGAAAUCGUCGGCCUUCGCCGACUCGUUCGGUUCGGAGAUUCCUCGUUAACUGUUAAUCGGACUCUUACACGGAUGUGGCGCGGCGAACGGAAGAAGACGGAUGCCGCGAUAGAAGCAGCGAAACAGCACUCUCGUCGCCUGUCGCCUGUCGCCUGUCGCCUGUCGCCUGUUGCUUGUCCCUGUCGGCCUACGCACGUACAACGCCCGUUAAAACACGGCGUUAUAACCCGACACACCGUAAAACCCACAAAUACAAGCUCACGAGUGUUCCUGUUACGUUAAAGAAAGGGUGGCAAUCGUCCCAUAGAGAGAUGACCAAUUUCACGCAGGGACGUGUAAUUUAAACUAUUACUUGUUCGUAAGAAACUGUACGUGCGAUCCUCGGAACUACGAAACCGUGAAAGUGGUCUAACCGAACAAAAGGGAACGAAGCGGACGAGAAAAAAAACGGACGAACGGAAGAAAAAUGAAGCCAAAGUAUAGCAGCAUCGGCUGAAAAAUCGAAGCGAAUCCGGGAAUCGAUAGAUUCGCGAAGAAG
Molecule: unclassified non-coding RNA, 960 nt
Filed under: Bombus terrestris (buff-tailed bumblebee)
Lineage: Eukaryota; Metazoa; Arthropoda; Insecta; Hymenoptera; Apidae
Description: misc RNA ENSBTSG00005029540.1
Source: RNAcentral